Molecule: non-coding RNA, 139 nt
Organism: Populus trichocarpa (black cottonwood)
Lineage: Eukaryota; Viridiplantae; Streptophyta; Magnoliopsida; Malpighiales; Salicaceae
Source: Rfam
UAAUCUGUCUAGGACAAAUUCUCAUUUAGUUGUGGCAGACUCACACAUAACUACUCAGAAUUACCCGUUAUCGCAAGCCCAACUAAAUCUUCCUUUAGUGAAGGCUUAUAAUUUGGGUUUUUAAGAUUCUUAGUAGGUU